CAUGCAGUCGAGCGAUUUACUUCGGUAAAGAGCGGCGGACGGGUGAGUAACGCGUGGGUAACCUGCCUCAUACACAUGGAUAACAUACCGAAAGGUAUGCUAAUACAGGAUAAUAUAAGAGAUUCACAUGGAUUUCUUAUCAAAGCUCCGGCGGUAUGAGAUGGACCCGCGUCUGAUUAGCUAGUUGGUAAGGUAAUGGCUUACCAAGGCGACGAUCAGUAGCCGACCUGAGAGGGUGAUCGGCCACAUUGGAACUGAGACACGGUCCAAACUCCUACGGGAGGCAGCAGUGGGGAAUAUUGCACAAUGGGCGAAAGCCUGAUGCAGCAACGCCGCGUGAGUGAUGAAGGCCUUCGGGUCGUAAAACUCUGUCCUCAAGGAAGAUAAUGACGGUACUUGAGGAGGAAGCCCCGGCUAACUACGUGCCAGCAGCCGCGGUAAUACGUAGGGGGCUAGCGUUAUCCGGAUUUACUGGGCGUAAAGGGUGCGUAGGUGGUUUUUUAAGUCAGGAGUGAAAGGCUACGGCUCAACCGUAGUAAGCUCUUGAAACUGGAAAACUUGAGUGCAGGAGAGGAAAGUGGAAUUCCUAGUGUAGCGGUGAAAUGCGUAGAUAUUAGGAGGAACACCAGUAGCGAAGGCGGCUCUCUGGACUGUAACUGACGCUGAGGCACGAAAGCGGUGGGGAGCAACAGGAUUAGAUACCCUGGUAGUCCACCGCCGUAACGAUGAGUACUAGUGUCGGGGGUACCCCCCCUCGUGCCGCAGCUACGCAUUAGUACUCCGCCUGGCAGUAC
This 794-nucleotide ribosomal RNA is filed under the name uncultured bacterium. RNAcentral describes it as "bacterial SSU rRNA". It matches the Rfam family "Bacterial small subunit ribosomal RNA", at positions 54 to 883 of the family's 1533-position model. The record is from RNAcentral.